CUACGGGAGGCUCCAGUGAGGAAUAUUGCACAAUGGGGGGAACCCUGAUGCAGCAACGCCGCGUGGAGGAUGACGCAUUUCGGUGUGUAAACUCCUUUUAUAUGUCAAGAAAAUGACGGUAGCAUAUGAAUAAGCACCGGCUAACUCCGUGCCAGCAGCCGCGGUAAUACGGAGGGUGCAAGCGUUACUCGGAAUCACUGGGCGUAAAGGGCGCGUAGGCGGGUUGGAAAGUCAGGUGUGAAAUCCUGCAGCUUAACUGUAGAACUGCACUUGAAACUUCUAAUCUAGAGUAUGGGAGGGGGAGAUGGAAUUAGUGGUGUAGGGGUAAAAUCCGUAGAUAUCACUAGGAAUACCUAAAGCGAAGGCGAUCUCCUGGAACAUUACUGACGCUAAGGCGUGAAAGCGUGGGGAGCAAACAGGAUUAGAUACCCGGGUAGUC
Molecule: ribosomal RNA, 439 nt
Filed under: uncultured bacterium
Lineage: Bacteria
Description: partial 16S ribosomal RNA
Rfam family: Bacterial small subunit ribosomal RNA
Source: RNAcentral